This 68-nucleotide transfer RNA is filed under the name Trachypithecus johnii (Nilgiri langur). RNAcentral's name for it is "tRNA-Gly". Lineage: Eukaryota; Metazoa; Chordata; Mammalia; Primates; Cercopithecidae. The record is from RNAcentral.
AUUCUUUUAGUAUAACUAGUACAGCUGACUUCCAAUCAGCUAGCUUCGACAAUACUCGAAAAAGGAUA